RNAcentral lists this long non-coding RNA (451 nucleotides) under Vitis vinifera (wine grape). RNAcentral's name for it is "long non-coding RNA (VVIN_LNC005185)". Lineage: Eukaryota; Viridiplantae; Streptophyta; Magnoliopsida; Vitales; Vitaceae. The record is from RNAcentral.
ACCGCCGGAGAUUCCGUUACCCUGAAGACCGGCGUGGACUCGUCCAGAGUAGCCGACACCGUGCUUGACGCUACGCCACUCUGCCUCUUCACCGUUGACAACUUACUCCUCCCGACCGAGUUGUUCGGAAAAUCUCCAUCUCCGGCACCUGCACCGGAACCAGUGUCAUCCCCCUCCCCAACUCCAGCGGUCUCUCCAAGCCCGUCACCAGCUGCCGAAGCACCUACACCCGUCUCCUCCCCUCCAGCUCCACCGAUGGAGUCGCCGGAAGGCUCUCCGUCAGAUGCCCCUGCUGAAUCAGAAAACAGCACGACGGACAAAUCGGCCGUCGACGUCACCGCUCCGGCAGUGUUGAAACUACUCGCCACGGUCAUUUUCACGGUUCUGUUGUCCUGAAUAGUAAUUUCCUUGGAUUGUUAAUUUAUUUCACUUUAUUUUUCCACGGUUUUCC